Long non-coding RNA from Fukomys damarensis (Damara mole-rat), 573 nucleotides. RefSeq lists it as uncharacterized. The transcript is spliced from 3 exons. The record is from RefSeq and is a predicted model, not a curated record. NCBI's taxonomy places the organism in Eukaryota, Metazoa, Chordata, Mammalia, Rodentia, Bathyergidae.
CUGGGAUGUUGGAGGUCUUCCCAGGGCCGGGCUUCUGGCGAGUUUAGCCGUCCUUCCGACUUAGGCUUUGAGUCGCUUAUCUACCCAGUAACUUAAUGCAUUGUAAACUGUUUGUUUCAUAUUGGUGGAGAUUACAUGAAGAAGAACAAGAUAAGCACUUGUGUACUUGUGUGUCUGGGCUGGCUUCUACCAUCCCCAAAAGAAAAUCAUGUCUUAACUGACCUACGGAGAGAAAGAGCUGAAGACCUACUGAGCCAGUCUUCAUAGCUAGCCCUGAGCCAACCCAUAAACACAUGGUGAAUGCUGAAGAAUUGUUUCAAGUUGCAUUCAUUUGUCUAUGAAUGACUCAAGUUUAUCUUCCUGUGUGACAGAAUAGUACUGCACUGGGGCUGUUUCCAAGAUCUAGCUAUUACAAACUGUGUUGCAGUAAACAUGGGUAUGCUUGUAUCCCUGCAGUACAAUGCUUUGAACUCUUUUGGAAAGAUACCUCGAAAGGAGAUAUCUGGGUCAAAGGAAAUUUCCAUUUUUAGGGUUUUUUGUUUUUGAGAAAUUUCCACACUGAUUUAAGUGAAA